GAAAUGCGAUAAGUAAUGUGAAUUGCAGAAUUCAGUGAAUCAUCGAAUCUUUGAACGCACCUUGCGCUCCUUGGUAUUCCUUGGAGCAUGCCUGUUUGAGUAUCAUGAAAUCUUCAAAGUAAAUCUUUUGUUAACUCAAUUGGUUUCUACUUUGGUAUUGGAGGUCUUUGCAGCUUCACACCUGCUCCUCUUUGUUCAUUAGCUGGAUCUCAGUGUUAUGCUUGGUUCCACUCGGCGUGAUAAGUUAUCUAUCGCAGAGGACACCGUAAAAGGUGGCCAAGGUAAAUGCAGAUGAACCGCUUCUAAUAGUCCAUUGACUUGGACAAUACUUUUAUGAUCUGAUCUCAAAUCAGGUAGGACUACCCGCUGAACUUAAGC
This 378-nucleotide unclassified non-coding RNA is filed under the name plant metagenome. RNAcentral's name for it is "partial contains 5.8S ribosomal RNA, internal transcribed spacer 2, and large subunit ribosomal RNA". The stretch from base 1 to 105 matches the Rfam family "5.8S ribosomal RNA", at positions 50 to 154 of the family's 154-position model. The record is from RNAcentral.